Long non-coding RNA from Apis dorsata (giant honeybee), 1391 nucleotides. RefSeq lists it as uncharacterized. NCBI's taxonomy places the organism in Eukaryota, Metazoa, Arthropoda, Insecta, Hymenoptera, Apidae. The transcript has 4 exons. The record is from RefSeq and is a predicted model, not a curated record.
CCGAAACAAUUCAACAUACAGUGAAAGCAAUCGUCCUAAUAGCCACAUUAUCCAUUCGAGGCACAUUUCCAUUGACACGACUAUACUGCGAACUGAUUCAAGGAGUCGGCCGCGAACAAACGACUUGAGUCCUCGACCGUUCUCUUGCUACGUAUUUUACACGAGUGACGUCACGCGCAAAAGGAGGAAUGGAUGAUGUCUCGCGACUGCCACAAUCUCAUGCCGGUGCGUGAAUCCACGUACACGAUGGCGCGUAGCAUGCAUGUGCACGCGCGGACGAGUGCCGACAAUACGUCACGGCAGUAUUGCAGUCUAAAUCUCGGUACUUUUAUGGGGCAGUAAAGUAAAACGGUCUGACAACAACUCCGGUGGCACAUACGCGUUCCAUCUGUCCAUCAAACUCUCGCGCCACUAGAGCGCGCCACGCGCGAGACCAUGUGUCAAUUAAUUGACUAGGAAAUUACGAAAUUGUCUCAAUUGACUGCUAGCAAAUCUAUUAUAUCAAAGCUCGAACGGGUGAAACGUUUUCUCCACGGCGCCGUACACUUUGAGGCCUUUUAUUUACAAGUUUACAAAGAAAAACAUCAGCCUGGAACAGAAAGAAAGGGAAUGCUUAUCGACCUUGUAGGCAAAUUCAAUCAUGGGCGUGAAUUUUGAUUCGUCGUGGUGAACGUAAAUAUAGAAAUCGAGGCUGCAGGUAGGAAACGUGAAAAUGCUCUCUGGAAGUGUCGUCUACUGAAGUCAAAUCUCCAGGGAUGUGUUUAUGGCAAGCUGAACACCGUUUGAAACGGAAGAGGAAGUGUGUAAGAGAGAGACAAAUACUUUGGAAGAUAAAAUCACUCGUGGAAACAUCUAUGGUUGGUCACGAUUAUUCAACACACGUCUACACAAGGGAAACUCGACAAACAACCAUGAAACAAUCUCUUUUCCCAGAAGUCGGACAUCUUAUCCAAACGGCCGAUACACAAAUCCUGGCCAUUUAUCCGGCACAAAAGGUCCACCUUUCAGUUUCUUCUCUCCAGUUUGAUAAAUAGAACGCCUCGAGAACGAAAGAGAAGAUGAAAAUGGCAAAGCUGGACGAAAUGUGGGCAGGACGUGCCACGAGGGAUAUUAUCGUGGACGCAGAAGGGUGGUCAUGUGAAAAAUACAUUGGUGUGUGCAGAGGAGAUUGGUCGAGGGGUGACGAGAGACACACAGGACACGAGAAAGCUCUUGCGUAUCAGAGGGGUGGUUAUGCCAUUUCUAUGGAACCGUCCAUUUACCGUUUACACCGUCCAACAGAGACGUGAGCACGCAUCUUACUGUGUAAUCGAAUUAAAAGUUGCACGGCCAUUUUUGCUACACGACGAUUGUGAAAUGAGAGAAACGUUGAGUCGAUUUUGGAACAGGAU